Molecule: ribosomal RNA, 510 nt
Filed under: uncultured bacterium
Lineage: Bacteria
Description: bacterial SSU rRNA
Rfam family: Bacterial small subunit ribosomal RNA
Source: RNAcentral
AUGGCUCAGGAUGAACGCUAGCUACAGGCUUAACACAUGCAAGUCGAGGGGCAGCAUUGGGAUAGCUUGCUAUUCAGAUGGCGACCGGCGCACGGGUGAGUAACGCGUAUCCAACCUUCCUGCCAGUAGGGAACAGCCCGGCGAAAGUCGGAUUAAUGCCCUAUGUUCUUCAAUGCGGACAUCUAAGUUGAAGGAAAGAUUCAUCGCUGGCAGAUGGGGAUGCGUCCGAUUAGCUUGCCGGCGGGGUAACGGCCCACCGGGGCGACGAUCGGUAGGGGUUCUGAGAGGAAGGUCCCCCACACUGGUACUGAGACACGGACCAGACUCCUACGGGAGGCAGCAGUGAGGAAUAUUGGUCAAUGGGCGUAAGCCUGAACCAGCCAAGUAGCGUGCAAGGAUGACGGCCCUACGGGUUGUAAACUGCUUUUAUGCGGGGAUAAAGUGCGGCACGUGUGCCGCUUUGCAGGUACCGCAUGAAUAAGGACCGGCUAAUUCCGUGCCAGCCGCUGC